Long non-coding RNA from Brassica napus (rape), 708 nucleotides. RefSeq lists it as uncharacterized. NCBI's taxonomy places the organism in Eukaryota, Viridiplantae, Streptophyta, Magnoliopsida, Brassicales, Brassicaceae. The record is from RefSeq and is a predicted model, not a curated record. The transcript is spliced from 3 exons.
CAACAAUUAAUACAUUUUCUGAAAAUCUUUGAAACCAUCUAUCUUGGUGGCAAGGUCCUUUCUGUUUUACUACCCUUUUUGAUUUUCGAAAUUGAUUCCCAUUAUUAAAUCGGGAUGUGAGUAAAGCUAGAGUCUUUGUUUCUGGGUUUAUCUUAAAACUUGCUUGAAUUUUCUAGGGGUUGUUGAGACAGCUUGUCUUAUGGCCUCUGAUGGUUAUAGCGGAGAGGCUUUUUUAUUCAUUUUGAUGGUAAAGGGUGGCAUGUAAUGAGGUUUCUCUACCAUUUUGAUUCCAGAUGAGCGUGUGGCUACUGAGCUAAAGAAAGCCAUCAUGCAAGCCUGCACUGAGAAGAAGCUUACCCAGUCCCAACUUGCUCAAGUUUAGGGAAGAAUGGUGAGCUGGUGAGAAAAUCGAGUGGGAACAGGAGCCCUAAGUCGAUUGUUGAACCAGCAAAGUAUGUAGAGAAGCCAGCCAAAUGGGGGAAUCAGAAGGUUGCUCCACAAAACAUCCACCAGCCUCGUUGAAGUGGGGAUUGUGUUAACUAGUCAGGUGGCUUGAGACCAUUAAUAUCUCCACCGUCUCGAGGAAGAAGCCAACCGAAGAUAAACUAGAGCCACUUCUUUGUUUUUCUCAGGUUCAAUGUGGCAACUUAGUUUGACUCAUUACCACUGAUUUUAUUCACCUAUAUUCCAAAGCUAUAGUCCCUUUCA